AUCGUCAGUAAUUUUUAAGAAUGUAAAGGAGUGCUGACACAAAAAGUUUGAGAACUGCCACAAGUCUUCAACCAUUUUUUUUCAAGUUCAUUUGGUUUUUCACUCUUUCCAGCCUUCAGGGUCUUAUGAAAGUAGUUUUCCGCUUUGCCGGGGAUGGACGUGUUCCUGCACACCCUUCUUUAAUGUUGUCGUUAACUGUUCUCAGCUCUUCCAACACAACUCAGGCUGUCCAUCCUCAGCCCCUUUGGGCUGAAUGGCGUCUGGUUCUUCUCCUAGUGACUGAGCGUCCUCGCAAUGUGAGUCCUCAUCAGCUCUCCUCCUGCACAUUCAGAUUUCUCCUCCCUUCACUCUACCAACAAGUCUAUCUUAACCUCAAGAAGGAACAUUUUCCAUUUUUCAUUGUUUGCCUCUAGACCCAGCGUUUCUGACAGCUUGGUCUCAAGGCUGGCCUCCUUCGAAAAUGACUUCAGUGAUUUAGAAUCUCUCUUAACAUUCCUGAGCUCAGAAAUUUUACUUUUUCUUUAUCUAGAGCAGAAAAAGUUAUGCCAAGCUCUUUCUCCCUACAUUUAAAAGUUGGCUUUUGUCUACAAGAAAGCCCAUGCCACCAUCUCUUGGCUAGUGGGUGGCACUGCUAAGGGUUGGACCAGGACUCAACGCCAUCAAGCAGGGCCCUCAGCCCCACGCAGCAUUUCCACGACGACCUGGUGGUAAAGCUUGGUAGCCAUCACCAGACCAUAUACGCUACCAGUGGCUGCCACAGAAUAGCCCCAGGUUGUUAGGACCCUACUGGCCCAAAUAGAUGACAGGGGCCCCUUAGAAUGCUCCAUGCAGAACAUAAGCCAGUGCCUGGCAACAAGAAUAGACCAGCAGCGGGGGGGAGUUAGGGAGGGCCCAGGGAACAAAAUGACAAAACAGAGCUUUCCCACAUUUUCUACAUCGUGGCACACCAAUACAUCAUCGUCACCAGCGGAAGUGGGAGGCUCUUCAUAGAUUGAAAAGGGAAACUUCUUCCUGUGAGCAGUCCGUUCAUUUCUCUCCCAGACACAAGGCUGAAAUUUUAGUAUUACAGGAAUUUAAUCAGAUGCUCUCUCUCAGUUACUCAUGUUGGAAUUAGUGACCAGCUUAAACCCCAACGGCUUUUUCACAUUAACUGAUGUCAAGCCAGGUCAAGUUUUCCAGAAGGAGACCCCAAGACAAGGACUCACCUACAAGUGAUGUACUAAGGAGGUACACCCAGAAAAAACAAGUGAGGAAGGAUGAUGAAGCAAGAUAGAGAAGGGGGUCUUCUAGGAUGCCAGCCAAAUGGACAACGCCAGAGUGAAGACCCAGGAGAUGAAAUCGGAUCAAGUGGGAAGAGUAGCAUAAGGAAUCUAAAGUGGAACAAGGGAUCCAUAAACUCAACAUCACCAGUAGUUACUUAGAACCAAAAACACUCUCAUGAACUAAACGAAGCUGGAAAUAUUCACAGCUUUGUUCAUCUGCAAGCGUGAUUUCCAUUACCUACAUCCUUGUGAAUAUGCAACAGACCACAGGAAAUUCAGCCAAUCAGGACCCAGCAGUGCCCUGACCCGUGGCUGGUCACGCAUGGAGCUGUUCACUGAAACUCUUAUCAGAUCUCAACAAGCAAACUGCACCGGUGAUGGAUAUGACACUUAAUAAGCAACAUCGAUAAACUGAAAAUAUGAAUUUCCUGCUGUUAGUGACUGUGGCAGAGACCACUAAUUGUCUACUAUGGCAACAGCUAACUAUGCAUCAAAAACGUGUCCUCCCCGCAGGGGCUUCUGCGUUGCCAGUUAUGUUCUGUUUCCGGAGCUGGAGCUGGUCACACAGGUGUACUAAGUUUGUGAAAAUGCAUUGGGCAGUACAUUUAUGACAUAUGCACUUUUCUGACUGUAUACUAUACUCUAAUAAAAAGUUUCCAGAAAACAAUUAUUCAGUCUACUGAGGAUAGAUAAAUAAAAAAAUAGACUGUGAAAAAGUUUGGUGUUCUUUUCCAGAUACAGAGUUAUUAGUGGAAGCAGA
Molecule: long non-coding RNA, 2022 nt
Organism: Equus caballus (horse)
Lineage: Eukaryota; Metazoa; Chordata; Mammalia; Perissodactyla; Equidae
Source: RefSeq, a predicted model, not a curated record